AGCUGCAUUGCUGGGCAACUUCUCCUUUGGCAGAUGUGCUGCUGGCUGGGGCUGCUGCCAAAGGAAAUUUGCCCCGGAAUUCAUCU
RNAcentral lists this microRNA precursor (86 nucleotides) under Setaria italica (foxtail millet). RNAcentral's name for it is "mir-399 microRNA precursor family". It matches the Rfam family "mir-399 microRNA precursor family". Rfam says of the family: mir-399 was identified in both Arabidopsis thaliana and Oryza sativa computationally and was later experimentally verified. mir-399 is thought to target mRNAs coding for a phosphatase transporter. The mature sequence is excised from the 3' arm of the hairpin. Lineage: Eukaryota; Viridiplantae; Streptophyta; Magnoliopsida; Poales; Poaceae. RNAcentral also lists the same sequence under 1 other name. The record is from Rfam by way of RNAcentral.